AGAUUGAACGCUGGCGGCAUGCCUAACACAUGCAAGUCGAACGGGAGUAGCAAUACUCUAGUGGCGGACGGGUGAGGAAUACGUAGGAAUUUGCCCUUAAGUGGGGGAUAACCCGGGGAAACCCGGAUUAAUACCGCAUGACCUCGAAGAGCAAAGUGGGGGAUCGCAAGACCUCACGCUUUUGGAGAAGCCUACGUCGGAUUAGCUAGUUGGUGAGGUAAUGGCUCACCAAGGCGACGAUCCGUAACUGGUCUGAGAGGAUGAUCAGUCACACCGGAACUGAGACACGGUCCGGACUCCUACGGGA
This 307-nucleotide ribosomal RNA is filed under the name uncultured soil bacterium. RNAcentral's name for it is "bacterial SSU rRNA". It matches the Rfam family "Bacterial small subunit ribosomal RNA", at positions 26 to 346 of the family's 1533-position model. The record is from RNAcentral.